This is a long non-coding RNA of Neofelis nebulosa (Clouded leopard), 1058 nucleotides long. RefSeq lists it as uncharacterized. NCBI's taxonomy places the organism in Eukaryota, Metazoa, Chordata, Mammalia, Carnivora, Felidae. The transcript has 4 exons. The record is from RefSeq and is a predicted model, not a curated record.
UCGGGUCCACCCUUAAGCUGGACACAGGCAACCAGAGGCUCCUCCCUUGUCUUUGGAAUGUACAUUCUGCCCACCAUUAUCACACUGUUUCAAGGACGUACGCUUGAGAGAGUGUGUUGCUGUUGAGGCUAUUUGGUCUGAAUACGUGACUAUAGCCGGUUAAGGCCUCCGUAUAAACUUAAGAUUCUGACAGCAGGUGCAGAGAUGUACGCGGCUUCUCUUGCAGUUGCUGAAGACAAGUCUUGUAAAAUCCUUCCUUUUCUGAUUCUUUGGCUUGGUUAUUGUCUUUUGGCUCGACACCCACCAAGAGGCGAACCCAGUUUCAGAUAACAGAGCUCUGCAUGUGACAUCUCCUAUCAUACAGGACUUUUGAUGCACAGGAAACUAUAACUAGAGGAGAGAAAGGAAUUCCCACCUCCAUCUCAAACAAAGCCCCACCUCUCAAUGAAAAAUAAAGUCCUAGGAGCAGGAGCAGGACCAGGUAAUGGUUCUAUUCUUGUCUUGAGCUUGAGUCAGUUUCAGUUUAAAACAUUUGGUGCCUCUGUUGCACUCUGGAGAAAAGCAUACAUAUAUUUUGGCUCCAGUCAAAGACCCAUAUGACCCCAAAAGAAGAAAACUAAUAUUUAACUGGUACAUACCACAUGUCAGGCACUGUACUUAGGCAAUUUCUCAGCAUACCACACCAUCUCAUGCUCAAGUCAGAGGAGAUAGUUGCUUAUUUUAGAGUUCUUUAACUAGCAGUGAUCAAAAGUUAAUUCUUCUAGGGAAGCCUGUGUGGUUCAGUCUGUUAAGCUUCCAACUCUUGCUCAGGUCAUGAUCCCAUGGUUCCUGGGAUUGAGCCCCAAGUCGGGCUCUGCCCUGGAUGUAGAGCAGGUGUGGAGCUUGCUUAAGAUUUUCUCUCUCCUCUCCCUCUGCUCUCCCCUUCUCUCUCAAAAACAAAAACAAAACAAAAACAAAAUUAAGAAAAUGCAAUAUAAACAUGUCAUUUAGAAAUGGCUAGGGGCGCUUAGGUGGCUCAGUCGGCUAAGUGAUUGACUCUUGAUUUCAGCUCAGAUCAU